UAAUAAAAGUGAAAUAAAUUAUGGCACUUUUAAAACAAUCCAUAUCCACCUUGUGUGCAAUGUUUUUUUUAUAUCAACUCUUUUAAAUACAAAUUGAUCUGAAAUUAUUUUAUGAAUACUUAAUUCAAAAAUA
This 133-nucleotide unclassified non-coding RNA is filed under the name uncultured Mucoromycotina. Its description in RNAcentral is "sequence contains ITS1". Lineage: Eukaryota; Fungi. The record is from RNAcentral.